CACGUAGGGCGCGAGCGUUGUCCGGAAUUAUUGGGCGUAAAGAGCUCGUAGGCGGUGUGUCACGUCGUUCGUGAAAACCUGCAGCUUAACUGUGGGCGUGCGGUCGAUACGGGCAUCACUGGAGUUCGGCAGGGGAGACUGGAAUUCCUGGUGUAGCGGUGAAAUGCGCAGAUAUCAGGAGGAACACCGGUGGCGAAGGCGGGUCUCUGGGCCGAUACUGACGCUGAGGUGCGAAAGCGUGGGGAGCAAACAGG
This 254-nucleotide ribosomal RNA is filed under the name uncultured bacterium. RNAcentral describes it as "partial 16S ribosomal RNA". It matches the Rfam family "Bacterial small subunit ribosomal RNA", at positions 524 to 776 of the family's 1533-position model. The record is from RNAcentral.